Long non-coding RNA from Magnolia sinica, 288 nucleotides. RefSeq lists it as uncharacterized. The transcript has 3 exons. The record is from RefSeq and is a predicted model, not a curated record. Lineage: Eukaryota; Viridiplantae; Streptophyta; Magnoliopsida; Magnoliales; Magnoliaceae.
GAAAAACAAGCAAGGGUUAAGGCUUACGUUGCUAGAUCAGAGAGGGAAGACGACGUUGAGAGAGGGAGAAGGAAGGAGACGCUGAGAGAGGGAGAAGGAGACGUUGGGUCAAAGCAGGGUUUUCAUCUAGCCAACAUUUGCAGUUACUCUUUUCUUUCAUGAACCUUUUAAGCCUGAGAUCAUGUAUGGAGGCGAUGAAGUAUCAGCAAUUGUCCUUGACUUGGGUUCACAUACGUGCAAGGCUGGUUAUGCCGGUGAAGAUGCUUCCAAGGCAGUGUUUCCAUCUGU